CUGCAUCCGUAAUUUCCAUUAAUCUGUCCUCCACCUUGCUUAUUCAGUCUUCUGCCUCCUGUAUUCUGCUGUUGACUGCUUCUAGUGAAUUUUUUAUUUCAGUUAUUGUAUUUUGCAUCUCUUCUUGUUUAAGUUUUACAUCUUGUAUCUCUUUGGUCAGUGUUUCCUGUAAGUUAUCCAUCUUUGCCUCCAGUUUAUUCCCAAUGUCUUGCAUCAUCUUCAGCAUCAACAGUCUAAAGUCUUUUUCCUGGAGGCUGAGAAUCUCCUCAUUGCUUAGCUGAUUUUCUGGGGUUUUUCCUUCCUCCCUCAUCUGAGUUUUAGAGUUUUCUGUCUUUUCAUGUUUAUAGGUUUUAGGUGUGGUGACCUUUUUACAGAUAAUAGGGUUGUAUCCUCUCUUACUUCUGGUGUCUCCCCCAUUGUGGCUGAAGUCUGUAUGGGUGCUUGCUGUAUGCUUCCUGAUGCAAGGGGCUGAGGCCUGCCCACUGAUAGGUGGAGCUGAUUCUAAUCCCUCUGGUGGGUGGGGCUUAGUCUCUGGAUGGGAUUAGAGGCAGCUGUGUGCGUGAGGGGUCUUUAGGUAGCCUGUUUACUGAGGGGUAGGACUAUGAUCCCACCUGGAUUGUUGUUUGCCCUGGGGUUUCUCAGCACUGCCUGAUGGAUGAGGCCAGAUUUUCCCAAAAUGGCCACCUCCAGAGAAAGGCAGCUGCUGAAUAUUCCCAGAGCUUUGCUUUCAAUGUCCGUCCCCCACAAUAAGCCACAUUCACCCCUGUUUUCCCAGGAUGUCCUCCAAGAACUGCAGUCAGGUUUGACCCAGAUUCCUAUGGAGACCUUGCUCUGCCCUGGGAUCCAGUGCAUGUGAAAGAAUGUGUGCACCUUUUAAGAAUGGGGGUCUCCAUUUCCCCCAGUCCUGUGGAGCUUCUGCACACAAGCCCCACUGGCCUUCAAUGCCAGAUGAUCCAGGGGCUCUUUCUCCCAGUGCCAGAUCCCCACACAUGAGGGUUUGAUGUGGGGCUCAGAACUCUCACAUCAGUAAGUGAGUCUCUCUCUGUGAACCAGUUAGUUUUCAGUCUGUGGAGCUUCCCACCCGGGAGGUAUGGGGUUGUUUAUAUCGUGAAAUCGCCCCCCUACCUCUUGAUGUGGCCUCCUCUUUUUCUUCUGAGUAGGGUAUCUUUUUUAAGGUUUCCGGUCCAUUUUGGUGAAGAGUGCUCAGCUUUUAGUUGUGAAUUUUGUUGUUUUUAGGAGAGAACUUGAGCUCCAGUCCUUCUAUUCCGCCAUCUUAAUCCCAUAUCCCCCAACAAUAUAAAUAUAAUUGUAAACACAGUGACAGUUAAACUUUAUGGGAGUUCCCACUGUGGAGCAGCAAGUUAAGGAUCUGGAAUUGCCAUGGCUGUGUCAUAGGUUGCAGCUGUGACUCAGAUUCAUUCCUGGCCUGAGAACUUCCAAAUGCUGAAAGUACAGCCAAAAAAAAAAAAAAAAAAAAGUUAUGGAACUGCUUCCCAGGCAUGACAAUAAACAUUUCAUUUGUACUACAUCUAUUCUGCACAUAUUUGCCUCACUGUUUUAUCACCAUCUCCAUUCUACAGAUGAGAACACUGAGGAACACAGACACUAUCUUUUUCGAGAUUACUGUCAUUAAGAGACAGAGAAAGGAUCUAAAUCUAGGGUUUUAUGACACCAAAUACCGCCCUUUCCACAGCUGCCAGACUGCCCUGCACCUGACAGACUCUCAGACUUUUUCCAUGCCCUGACAAGGGCUUAUGACUGGGUACCCUCUGCAUGUGGGUCACUAAUUUCUCAGUGGUUAUGUGUGACCGAUGGGUUAGGGCAGGCACUCUUGAUCCCUGAGCAGAGUCCAGUGACAAUUUCAUCCCUGCUAACUGGGACUGGCAGUAAGACCCUAUAAUCCUUCUCAGUAAGGACAGUGUAGAACAAUUUCCAACCUCACAUAAAGCUAGGCCUACAGAGGGGUCUGCCCCUGCUGCCCACAGGCAUUUACUUUCUGCUCUCAUCCUCUUCCAUCCUCUCUCUUCAAUUAGUCAGAUGGCAAUGCAGCAACUCAAUCAGUGUGUUCCAGGAGGUCAAACUUUGGGAAGACUCUAACAAUGAAUUAAAUUUUCAUUUUAGACCCUUAAUAGCCCAAUCAAUAAUUUAGGGAGCAAAGAAAACAUUUUCUGGGAAAGCAUUAGCUUAAAACUGAAAAGUAGCUGCUCAUCCCUUGGAAAUGACACAAUUUCAACAAGGAUGGGGUAGAGGGAGCAGAGGCUCACAGUCGGGGUUUUCUUUUUUUGUACACUCUUAACUCCUUUUCUCUCUCUCUCUCUCUUCCUCUCUCCAUCCAUCCCUCCCUCCCACUUUCCCUCUCUCUCCCUUUUCUCUCCAUACUUGCUCCUUUUUUCCUCCUCUCUCUGUCUAGUCUUCUCUCUUUUUUGCCCCCACGCUACUGCUAUUUAAUGUUUUGUACUUUCUCAUCUUUCUGAAUAUUGUACUUGCUGGUGCAAUAACUAAUUAAUACUGUAACCAAUCUGUAGCUAUGAAUUAUUUUUUCUUAGGAACAAAUCAAAACCAUUACCCACUAAGGGUAAUUCCAUUUUGAAGUAUUAGUUUAAUUUCAUUUUGAAGUAUUAGUCACAGUUAAAAUUAAAGAUUCACCUUAAAGAAAUGGCUACAAUUCAAAAUUUUUUUCCAAUGUGCUUGGCUGACUAAUGUUUAAUUUAAAAUGUAAAAAGAGACAAGGUUCUAAGAGUUUCAAAGCUGUUUUGAGAAAGUACAUGGUGGUUAAUACUAUGUCCAACUUGCUAAAAAUCUUUGAACUAAUUUCCAAUAAACUA
This 2825-nucleotide long non-coding RNA is filed under the name Sus scrofa (pig). RNAcentral's name for it is "lncRNA (ENSSSCG00040013583.1, ENSSSCG00085030368.1)". Lineage: Eukaryota; Metazoa; Chordata; Mammalia; Artiodactyla; Suidae. The record is from RNAcentral.